GUCGAGCGAACAGACAAGGAGCUUGCUCCUUUGACGUUAGCGGCGGACGGGUGAGUAACACGUGGGUAACCUACCUAUAAGACUGGGAUAACUUCGGGAAACCGGAGCUAAUACCGGAUAAUAUUUCGAACCGCAUGGUUCGAUAGUGAAAGAUGGUUUUGCUAUCACUUAUAGAUGGACCCGCGCCGUAUUAGCUAGUUGGUAAGGUAACGGCUUACCAAGGCGACGAUACGUAGCCGACCUGAGAGGGUGAUCGGCCACACUGGAACUGAGACACGGUCCAGACUCCUACGGGAGGCAGCAGUAGGGAAUCUUCCGCAAUGGGCGAAAGCCUGACGGAGCAACGCCGCGUGAGUGAUGAAGGUCUUCGGAUCGUAAAACUCUGUUAUUAGGGAAGAACAUACGUGUAAGUAACUAUGCACGUCUUGACGGUACCUAAUCAGAAAGCCACGGCUAACUACGUGCCAGCAGCCGCGGUAAUACGUAGGUGGCAAGCGUUAUCCGGAAUUAUUGGGCGUAAAGCGCGCGUAGGCGGUUUUUUAAGUCUGAUGUGAAAGCCCACGGCUCAACCGUGGAGGGUCAUUGGAAACUGUAAAACUUGAGUGCAGAAGGAGGAAAGUGGAAUUCCAUGUGUAGCGGUGAAAUGCGCAGAGAUAUGGAGGAACACCAGUGGCGAAGGCGACUUUCUGGUCUGUAACUGACGCUGAUGUGCGAAAGCGUGGGGAUCAAACAGGAUUAGAUACCCUGGUAGUCCACGCCGUAACGAUGAGUGCUAACUGUUAGGGGGUUUCCGCCCCUUAGUGCUGCAGCUAACGCAUUAAGCACUCCGCCUGGGGAGUACGACCGCAAGGUUGAAACUCAAAGGAAUUGACGGGGACCCGCACAAGCGGUGGAGCAUGUGGUUUAAUUCGAAGCAACGCGAAGAACCUUACCAAAUCUUGACAUCCUUUGACAACUCUAGAGAUAGAGCCUUCCCCUUCGGGGGACAAAGUGACAGGUGGUGCAUGGUUGUCGUCAGCUCGUGUCGUGAGAUGUUGGGUUAAGUCCCGCAACGAGCGCAACCCUUAAGCUUAGUUGCCAUCAUUAAGUUGGGCACUCUAAGUUGACUGCCGGUGACAAACCGGAGGAAGGUGGGGAUGACGUCAAAUCAUCAUGCCCCUUAUGAUUUGGGCUACACACGUGCUACAAUGGACAAUACAAAGGGCAGCGAAACCGCGAGGUCAAGCAAAUCCCAUAAAGUUGUUCUCAGUUCGGAUUGUAGUCUGCAACUCGACUACAUGAAGCUGGAAUCGCUAGUAAUCGUAGAUCAGCAUGCUACGGUGAAUACGUUCCCGGGUCUUGUACACACCGCCCGUCACACCACGAGAGUUUGUAACACCCGAAGCCGGUGGAGUAACCAUUU
Molecule: ribosomal RNA, 1402 nt
Filed under: Staphylococcus haemolyticus
Lineage: Bacteria; Bacillati; Bacillota; Bacilli; Caryophanales; Staphylococcaceae
Description: bacterial SSU rRNA
Rfam family: Bacterial small subunit ribosomal RNA
Source: RNAcentral